This 452-nucleotide ribosomal RNA is filed under the name uncultured bacterium. RNAcentral describes it as "bacterial SSU rRNA". It matches the Rfam family "Bacterial small subunit ribosomal RNA", at positions 365 to 807 of the family's 1533-position model. The record is from RNAcentral.
UUCGCAAUGCCCGAAAGGGUGACGAAGCGACGCCGCGUGUGGGAAGAAGGCCUUCGGGUUGUAAACCACUGUCGGGAGUUAGGAAAUGUAAGGGUGCUAAUAGUAUCCUUACUUGACUAAGGCUCCGGAGGAAGCCACGGCUAACUCUGUGCCAGCAGCCGCGGCAAUACAGAGGCGGCAAGCGUUGUUCGGAAUUAUUGGGCGUAAAGAGCACGUAGGCGGCCUUGUAAGUCAGUUGUGAAAGCCUUCUGCUUAACGGAAGAACAGCAGCUGAUACUGCAAGGCUAGAGUGCGGAAGGGGAGAGUGGAACUUCUGGUGGAGCGGUGAAAUGCGUAGAUAUCAGAAGGAACACCGGCGGCGAAGGCGACUCUCUGGUCCGUAACUGACGCUGAGUGUGCGAAAGCUAGGGGAGCAAACGGGAUUAGAUACCCCGGUAGUCCUAGCCGUAAAC